RNAcentral lists this ribosomal RNA (1394 nucleotides) under marine bacterium IIIA009. RNAcentral describes it as "bacterial SSU rRNA". It matches the Rfam family "Bacterial small subunit ribosomal RNA", at positions 64 to 1440 of the family's 1533-position model. The record is from RNAcentral.
GAGCGGACCGACGGGAGCUUGCUCCCUUAGGUCAGCGGCGGACGGGUGAGUAACACGUGGGUAACCUGCCUGUAAGACUGGGAUAACUCCGGGAAACCGGGGCUAAUACCGGAUGCUUGAUUGAACCGCAUGGUUCAAUCAUAAAAGGUGGCUUUUAGCUACCACUUGCAGAUGGACCCGCGGCGCAUUAGCUAGUUGGUGAGGUAACGGCUCACCAAGGCGACGAUGCGUAGCCGACCUGAGAGGGUGAUCGGCCACACUGGGACUGAAACACGGCCCAGACUCCUACGGGAGGCAGCAGUAGGGAAUCUUCCGCAAUGGACGAAAGUCUGACGGAGCAACGCCGCGUGAGUGAUGAAGGUUUUCGGAUCGUAAAACUCUGUUGUUAGGGAAGAACAAGUACCGUUCGAAUAGGGCGGCACCUUGACGGUACCUAACCAGAAAGCCACGGCUAACUACGUGCCAGCAGCCGCGGUAAUACGUAGGUGGCAAGCGUUGUCCGGAAUUAUUGGGCGUAAAGCGCGCGCAGGCGGUUUCUUAAGUCUGAUGUGAAAGCCCCCGGCUCAACCGGGGAGGGUCAUUGGAAACUGGGGAACUUGAGUGCAGAAGAGGAGAGUGGAAUUCCACGUGUAGCGGUGAAAUGCGUAGAGAUGUGGAGGAACACCAGUGGCGAAGGCGACUCUCUGGUCUGUAACUGACGCUGAGGCGCGAAAGCGUGGGGAGCGAACAGGAUUAGAUACCCUGGUAGUCCACGCCGUAAACGAUGAGUGCUAAGUGUUAGAGGGUUUCCGCCCUUUAGUGCUGCAGCAAACGCAUUAAGCACUCCGCCUGGGGAGUACGGUCGCAAGACUGAAACUCAAAGGAAUUGACGGGGGCCCGCACAAGCGGUGGAGCAUGUGGUUUAAUUCGAAGCAACGCGAAGAACCUUACCAGGUCUUGACAUCCUCUGACAACCCUAGAGAUAGGGCUUCCCCUUCGGGGGCAGAGUGACAGGUGGUGCAUGGUUGUCGUCAGCUCGUGUCGUGAGAUGUUGGGUUAAGUCCCGCAACGAGCGCAACCCUUGAUCUUAGUUGCCAGCAUUCAGUUGGGCACUCUAAGGUGACUGCCGGUGACAAACCGGAGGAAGGUGGGGAUGACGUCAAAUCAUCAUGCCCCUUAUGACCUGGGCUACACACGUGCUACAAUGGGCAGAACAAAGGGCAGCGAAGCCGCGAGGCUAAGCCAAUCCCACAAAUCUGUUCUCAGUUCGGAUCGCAGUCUGCAACUCGACUGCGUGAAGCUGGAAUCGCUAGUAAUCGCGGAUCAGCAUGCCGCGGUGAAUACGUUCCCGGGCCUUGUACACACCGCCCGUCACACCACGAGAGUUUGUAACACCCGAAGUCGGUGAGGUAACC